Folsomia candida is the source of this 770-nucleotide long non-coding RNA. RefSeq lists it as uncharacterized. The transcript is spliced from 2 exons. NCBI's taxonomy places the organism in Eukaryota, Metazoa, Arthropoda, Collembola, Entomobryomorpha, Isotomidae. The record is from RefSeq and is a predicted model, not a curated record.
CUAGCAAUUUAUUUGGCAUAACCCAGCUGCUGUCAUGCUGGAAAAUUUGCACUCAUUUCACUCCAUUAUACAAAAUGUGAAGGAAACUAAUUAAAAGGUCAUCCCCUCUUUCUAAAUGGCCACUCUGUUUAAAGAGGUGAAAAAUUUCCUCGGAAUUUUGGCCCGGCAUAUUUUUGACCACAUCCAAGAUAACUUUCAGAUUGAGUCGGUAGUUUACUUUGCAUGUAGAGUGGCCACCUGGCCGUGUCGGCUAUUUCGUCGAAUUGUGACCAAGUGUAAACGGUGUUUCGACUGUUUUUGUGAUUUUCUGGUGGACAUUUUCUACAAAUGUGUACAUCUCGCCAUAGCCAUUCUACUACUGGCAUUAUUCCCGAUUCUAUUCCUCUUUAUCAUGCCCUUGUACGCGAGACGGUUUGUUUGCAGAUUUCAAGCCUCGUAAACCAAAUUAUAAACCAAAUUGCUCAAAUACAAUGACAGAAGGAAUCUGCUCUAAUCAGGCGAGCUUUGAUUAUCAGUCAUCAAUUGAUGGAAGGAUACUUAGAAGGAUGACCGGGACCUAAAAAUUCCUGAAAUUAUAGUACAGAUAUUACACUGCAGUAUUGUUGGACGAUUUAUUAUUUUUUAUAAAAUAUUGCCUUCACGAUAUUAUUAUGUAAUACAGACGAGGAGACAAAUAAUUCUCUCCAGAAAAAUUAGAAUAGACGAAUGACAUGAUGAUAAUAUACGAUAAUUAAUAAUAAAGCCGGCACUUUAGUCAUAUUGAUUAAAAU